RNAcentral lists this ribosomal RNA (611 nucleotides) under uncultured bacterium. RNAcentral's name for it is "bacterial SSU rRNA". It matches the Rfam family "Bacterial small subunit ribosomal RNA", at positions 338 to 951 of the family's 1533-position model. The record is from RNAcentral.
CCUACGGGAGGCAGCAGUAAGGAAUAUUGGUCAAUGGACGCAAGUCUGAACCAGCCAUGCCGCGUGAAGGAUUAAGGCCCUCUGGGUUGUAAACUUCUUUUAUAGGGGACGAAAAAAGGGCAUUCUUGCUCACUUGACGGUACCCUAGGAAUAAGCACCGGCUAACUCCGUGCCAGCAGCCGCGGUAAUACGGAGGGUGCAAGCGUUAUCCGGAUUUACUGGGUUUAAAGGGUGCGUAGGUGGGUUGGUAAGUCAGUGGUGAAAUCUUCGAGCUUAACUCGGAAACUGCCAUUGAUACUAUCAAUCUUGAAUCAUCUAGAGGUAAGCGGAAUAUGUCAUGUAGCGGUGAAAUGCUUAGAUAUGACAUAGAACACCAAUUGCGAAGGCAGCUUACUAUGGAUGCAUUGACACUGAGGCACGAAAGCGUGGGGAUCAAACAGGAUUAGAUACCCUGGUAGUCCACGCCCUAAACGAUGGAUACUCGACAUUUGUGAUAUACAAUAAGUGUCUGAGCGAAAGCAUUAAGUAUCCCACCUGGGAAGUACGACCGCAAGGUUGAAACUCAAAGGAAUUGAGGCUGAGACGAGCGACGACGACGACGAGGGAGGAGG